UACGUAGGGGGCUAGCGUUGUCCGGAAUCAUUGGGCGUAAAGAGCGCGUAGGCGGCCAGAUAAGUCCGGUGUGAAAGUCAAAGGCUCAACCUUUGAAUGCCGCUGGAAACUGUCUGGCUAGAGUCCGGGAGGGGCGAGCGGAAUUCCUGGUGUAGCGGUGAAAUGCGCAGAUAUCAGGAGGAACACCAAUGGCGAAGGCGGCUCACUGGUCCGGUACUGACGCUGAGGUGCGAAAGCGUGGGGAGCAAACAGG
This 253-nucleotide ribosomal RNA is filed under the name uncultured bacterium. Its description in RNAcentral is "partial 16S ribosomal RNA". It matches the Rfam family "Bacterial small subunit ribosomal RNA", at positions 524 to 776 of the family's 1533-position model. The record is from RNAcentral.